Molecule: ribosomal RNA, 253 nt
Filed under: uncultured bacterium
Lineage: Bacteria
Description: partial 16S ribosomal RNA
Rfam family: Bacterial small subunit ribosomal RNA
Source: RNAcentral
UACGUAGGGGGCAAGCGUUGUCCGGAAUCAUUGGGCGUAAAGAGCGUGUAGGCGGCUUGGCAAGUCUGGUGUGAAAUCUUGCGGCUCAACCGCAAGCGGUCACUGGAAACUGCCUCGCUAGAGUCCGGAAGAGGAGAGCGGAAUUCCUGGUGUAGCGGUGGAAUGCGCAGAUAUCAGGAAGAACACCGGUGGCGAAGGCGGCCUUCUGGACGAUGACUGACGCUGAGACGCGAAAGCGUGGGGAGCAAACAGG